Long non-coding RNA from Nannospalax galili (Upper Galilee mountains blind mole rat), 801 nucleotides. RefSeq lists it as uncharacterized. The record is from RefSeq and is a predicted model, not a curated record. NCBI's taxonomy places the organism in Eukaryota, Metazoa, Chordata, Mammalia, Rodentia, Spalacidae. The transcript is spliced from 3 exons.
CCUGGAUAAAAUAGUCUGUCUUCAAACCAUCAGUUCCUAUGUGUUUGUGGAAGGCGCUCAGGAAGUAUUAGGUGUUGGAAUGAAGAGAAAGAGGUGUGAAGCCGUUCUACCAGCCACCCACAGAUCCCAGUCCGGAUCUCAAACGUGGCAUGUUCUUGUGUUCUGAACCCCACUCUGCAGCUGGAUUUAUUUUCAUCUUUCUUCAUUGUCCCCUACUGCAAGGUCCGAACAAAGUGCGGCUUUGCCUUCUAAGUACAAGAGAUGCAUUCUGCUGUCUGUUAGCUGCAUUCUGCUGUCCUGUGAUCCCAAGAAGCGAGGGGAAGCUUGAUGAGAGGAGAAGAAAUGUUUCUCAGCGAAGGACAGAACUACAAAAUGUUUGUGUUGCAGAGAAUUGAAGUGAUCAUUCAACCUAGAGUGACACAGAAAUCAAUCUGCUCUGCCAGGAGCUGGACACGAAAGGUCUCCUAAGGAGAAGGUUGACUGCCUCCACUCCCCAGGUUGCCUUCUCCUACAUGAGGCUACAGAAAGAGUUCCAACAAGGGGAGACCCAAGUGGCUGGAGAAACAGUGACUUAGGGAGGAGGUGUUAAUGGAAUUUAGGUCAGAUUUCAUUUCAUGGAAAAGAGAUCAGUCAAUGUUAUGAACUACUAAAUGUGACUAGAUUGCUUAAGAGCUAGUGAAGAUUUACAAACUCCUUGGGUUAUUUCCUCUGAAUUGCAGUCAAUUUUCAUACAGUUCUUAUAGUGCCUGGCAUGCUGGGUUGAAUAAUGGAUUGGAUAGGGGCUUUUGAACUUUUCCAUUU